CUGCUGCCUUCCGUAGGAGUCUGGGCCGUGUCUCAGUCCCAAUGUGGCCGGCCGCCCUCUCAGGCCGGCUACUGAUCGUCGCCUUGGUGGGCCGUUACCCCGCCAACGAGCUAAUCAGACGCGGGCCCAUCCCAUACCACCGGAGUUUUCCCCAGGAAGCUAUGCAGCCUCCUGGGCGUAUGCGGUAUUAGCAGCCGUUUCCGGCUGUUAUCCCCCGGUAUGGGGCAGGUUGCCCACGCGUUACUCACCCGUCCGCCA
RNAcentral lists this ribosomal RNA (258 nucleotides) under uncultured bacterium. RNAcentral's name for it is "partial 16S ribosomal RNA". The record is from RNAcentral.